GUGCCAGGACUGCGGUUGACCGUACCGUAAUCCGACACAGGUAGGCGAGGCGAGCAGCCUAAGGUGCUCGAGUGAUUUACGGAAAAGGAACUCGGCAAAAUGACCCCGUAACUUCGGGAUAAGGGGUGCCGGCAGUAGCUGACCUAAUCAAGGGAAGGCGAGACCGGCCGCAGAGAAUCGUCCCAAGCGACUGUUUAGCAAAAACACAGGAGCGUGCUAAGGCAUUGUCCAAGCCAACGUAUACGCUCUGACUCCUGCCCGGUGCCGGAAGGUUAAGGCAAGUCGUCAGCCGCAAGGCGAAGCGAUGAACCGAAGCCCCGGUAAACGGCGGCCGUAACGAUAACGGUCCUAAGGUAGCGAAAUUCCUUGUCGGGUAAGUUCCGACCUGCACGAAUGGAGUAACGACUUGGGAGCUGUCUCUUCCGUAAGCUCGGCGAAAUAGAAGCAUCGGUGAGGAUUCCGAUUACCCGCGACAGGACAAAAAGACCCCAUGCACCUUUACUACAACCUGUCAUUGAUUGUCGGUAUGCGUUGCGUAGCAUAGGUGGGAGCCGGUGAAACCGGGGUUUCGGCCCUGGUGGAGGCACCAGUGAAAUACCACCCUUCGUUUACUAACAAUCUCACUCAGCCGGCAACACCGGCGAGGACCGUGGCAGGCGGGUAGUUUGACUGGGGCGGUCGCCUCCUAAAAAGUACCGGAGGCGCACAAUGGUUGGCUCAGUGCGGUCGGUAAUCGCACGUCGAGUGUAUACGCAGAAGCCAGCCUGACUGCGAGCGCGACAGCGCGAGCAGGGACGAAAGUCGGUGUAAGUGAUCCGGCGGGACCGUGUGGACGGCCCGUCGCUCAUCGGAUAAAAGGUACGCUGGGGAUAACAGGCUUACCGCGCCCGAGAGUUCACAUCGACGGCGCGGUUUGGCACCUCGAUGUCGGCUUGUCACAUCCUGGGGCUGGAGAAGGUCCCAAGGGUCCGGCUGUUCGCCGGUUAAAGUGGCACAUGAGCUGGGUUCAGGACGUCGUGAGACAGUUCGGUCUGUAUCCGUCGUGGGCGUGGGAAUGUUGAGGGACGUCGACCUUAGUACGAGAGGACCGGGUCGAAGCGACCGCUCGUGUACGGGCUAUCCUGCCAAGGGUAUCGCCCGGUAGCGAUGUCGCGCGCAGAUAACCGCUGAAAGCAUCUAAGUGGGAAACUGUUCCCAAGAUGAACAUUCCUGGGUCUUAAGACCCCUGAAGGGCCGUGGGAGACUACCACGUUGAUAGGCGGCAGAUGUAAGGCGUGCAAGCGCUUCAGUCGAGCCGUACUAAUCGCCCGUGCAGUUUGAUCUC
RNAcentral lists this ribosomal RNA (1324 nucleotides) under metagenome. RNAcentral's name for it is "bacterial LSU rRNA". It matches the Rfam family "Bacterial large subunit ribosomal RNA", at positions 1623 to 2925 of the family's 2925-position model. The record is from RNAcentral.